GGACAAGCGAAUAAGUGCACAUGGUGGAUGCCUUGGCGAUUACAGGCGAUGAAGGACGUAGUAGCUUGCGAUAAGCUGCGGGGAGCGAGCAAACACGCUGUGAUCCGCAGAUUUCCGAAUGGGGAAACCCGGCCCUUUGGGUCAUUGCAUACUGAAUACAUAGGUAUGCAAAGCGAACGCGGCGAACUGAAACAUCUAAGUAGCUGCAGGAAAAGAAAUCAACCGAGAUUCCCAAAGUAGUGGCGAGCGAAAUGGGAUGAGCCUGCACGUUUUAGCACGACGCAUAGAAGAAUCCUCUGGAAAUAGGAACCGUAGCGGGUGAUAGUCCCGUAUUCGAAAUGCGAUGUGUGGAACUAAGCGUGCGACAAGUAGG
This 373-nucleotide ribosomal RNA is filed under the name Rugamonas violacea. RNAcentral's name for it is "partial 23S ribosomal RNA". It matches the Rfam family "Bacterial large subunit ribosomal RNA", at positions 1 to 416 of the family's 2925-position model. Lineage: Bacteria; Pseudomonadati; Pseudomonadota; Betaproteobacteria; Burkholderiales; Oxalobacteraceae. The record is from RNAcentral.